AAACUGCUAGGGAUAUCCAUACAGUCAAUUACAACGAAAGAAGCUAAAACUUAUGCUUUGUGUUUCGAUCAGACUGGAUGAUUUCACAUUAUUAUUUCUUCACUGAUAGUCAAAAUGUAGUUGUAUUACUAACACAGCAUCCAGAAAGUGCCUAUAUAGUUACAAAUUACUUGAAGGUAGAGAGGCUGUUUCAUAUAGACUCUCGGCUCAAAGAAAGAUGCAAAAGAAAGAAGCAGGAACAAACUAAAAAAAACAAUAAGAUGAUACAAUGAUCAAGGCUAUAGAAACAAGCGGUAGUAACAAAUAAAUCUAAAAACACAAAAAACAGGAAUAAUACUAAUGUACGGGAUGGUGCUUUAUGUAUAGAUCCGUAAAUAUCUGGACAACCUACUGCUGCAUUUUCAUGUGUUACCCAAUUGUGGUGAAUGGAAGCUGGUCCUGAGCACGUACAGUGGAUAAUGUUGGGCACAGUAAAGGACCUGUUAGACAGAUGACCUUAGAAGAAAGCAAGAAUACAUAGGACACGAGAGAUAGCCUAUGUAGCCCUUAUAUGGAUCCUUUGGAAGGAGAGCAUGGAAGAGUUCAUGAUAAGUUUAUAUAUUUGAAGAAUAACCUCCUGUUUUUGGUUAAUCUCUCUGACAGUUUGUUGGUUUCUCUACUUUUUGGUGUAUUACUUCUACACGGAAGUUUACCCACAUUAACAAGAUUAUUACUUCAUCACAACAUUUUUUUGUAAGUGGAAUUAAUAAGAUGUUCUUCUUUGGGAUAAUCUUAGUAGCUCAGUAAGUUGGAUAGUGAGGGUUCAAUUCUCCACCUUGUUAUCUCCUUCCUCUAUCCCCAACUUCUUUUUUUUUUUUAAAAAGAUGUUCUGCAUUAUCUUCAACGGAUUCUACACUAAUGUAACUUCCUUAAAGCUUUUUGUGGACACCUUGACAAGUUGCUAUACCAGGACCUGAUAAAAUGUAUUACGGCACCCAUCAAUUCAAGCAACAAGUGAUAAGGGAAUCAUUAACUUCAUAGUGGUUAAGACUUGCAUUGCAUUUCCUCCCAAAAACUCACUCAUUUGCAGUCUAUCUUACUAAAUAACAACAACAUACCAAGUGUUCCCACAGAUUGAAGUUCGGGGGAGAGUAGAGUGUACCAUACCUUAAUCUACCUCAGCCAAGAUGUUGUUUCCAGUAGACCCUCGCUCAAGACAUAAACAAACUAGAAAUAGACACAAUAAAAGUACAAAAGACAAUAGGUAGUAACAAACAACAGAUAGUAAGAGGGCAAUAUUACAACUAAAUAACACUACAAUCAAACUACACAUAUCUUACUAAAUUACAAUUUUGUUUUUUUACCGAAUUCAUUUAAAGUUGAUCAUCAAUUGAGUUAAAAGAAUUGAAAAGCUUUA
RNAcentral lists this unclassified non-coding RNA (1396 nucleotides) under Hevea brasiliensis (rubber tree). The record is from RNAcentral. Lineage: Eukaryota; Viridiplantae; Streptophyta; Magnoliopsida; Malpighiales; Euphorbiaceae.